GAGGAGAUGGCUCAGCGGUAGAGCGCGUGCUUCGCGUGCAUGAGGUCCUGGGUUCAAUCCCCGGUACCUACU
Molecule: transfer RNA, 72 nt
Filed under: Camelus bactrianus (Bactrian camel)
Lineage: Eukaryota; Metazoa; Chordata; Mammalia; Artiodactyla; Camelidae
Also listed under: 2 other names
Rfam family: tRNA
About the family: Transfer RNA (tRNA) molecules are approximately 80 nucleotides in length.
Source: Rfam by way of RNAcentral